Molecule: ribosomal RNA, 885 nt
Filed under: Trichoderma sp. 1 PC-2011
Lineage: Eukaryota; Fungi; Ascomycota; Sordariomycetes; Hypocreales; Hypocreaceae
Description: LSU rRNA
Rfam family: Eukaryotic large subunit ribosomal RNA
Source: RNAcentral
CAUAUCAAUAAGCGGAGGAAAAGAAACCAACAGGGAUUGCCCCAGUAACGGCGAGUGAAGCGGCAACAGCUCAAAUUUGAAAUCUGGUCCCUAGGGCCCGAGUUGUAAUUUGUAGAGGAUGCUUUUGGUGAGGUGCCGCCCGAGUUCCCUGGAACGGGACGCCACAGAGGGUGAGAGCCCCGUCUGGCUGGCCGCCGAGCCUCUGUAAAGCUCCUUCGACGAGUCGAGUAGUUUGGGAAUGCUGCUCAAAAUGGGAGGUAUAUGUCUUCUAAAGCUAAAUAUUGGCCAGAGACCGAUAGCGCACAAGUAGAGUGAUCGAAAGAUGAAAAGCACCUUGAAAAGAGGGUUAAAUAGUACGUGAAAUUGUUGAAAGGGAAGCGCUUGUGACCAGACUUGGGCGCGGCGGAUCAUCCGGGGUUCUCUCCGGUGCACUUCGCCGCGUCUAGGCCAGCAUCAGUUCGUCGCGGGGGAAAAAGGCUUCGGGAACGUGGCUCCUCCGGGAGUGUUAUAGCCCGUUGCAUAAUACCCUGCGGUGGACUGAGGACCGCGCAUCUGCAAGGAUGCUGGCGUAAUGGUCACCAGCGACCCGUCUUGAAACACGGACCAAGGAGUCGUCUUCGUAUGCGAGUGUUCGGGUGUCAAACCCCUACGCGUAAUGAAAGUGAACGCAGGUGAGAGCUUCGGCGCAUCAUCGACCGAUCCUGAUGUUCUCGGAUGGAUUUGAGUAAGAGCAUACGGGGCCGGACCCGAAAGAAGGUGAACUAUGCCUGUAUAGGGUGAAGCCAGAGGAAACUCUGGUGGAGGCUCGCAGCGGUUCUGACGUGCAAAUCGAUCGUCAAAUAUGGGCAUGGGGGCGAAAGACUAAUCGAACCUUCUAGUAGCUGG